Molecule: ribosomal RNA, 497 nt
Filed under: uncultured bacterium
Lineage: Bacteria
Description: partial 16S ribosomal RNA
Rfam family: Bacterial small subunit ribosomal RNA
Source: RNAcentral
GACGAACGCUGGCGGCGUGCCUAAUACAUGCAAGUUGAGCGAUGAAGAUUGGUGCUUGCACCAAUUUGAAGAGCAGCGAACGGGUGAGUAACGCGUGGGGAAUCUGCCUUUGAGCGGGGGACAACAUUUGGAAACGAAUGCUAAUACCGCAUAAUAACUUUAAACAUAAGUUUUAAGUUUAAAAGAUGCAAUUGCAUCACUCAAAGAUGAUCCCGCGUUGUAUUAGCUAGUUGGUGAGGUAAAGGCUCACCAAGGCGAUGAUACAUAGCCGACCUGAGAGGGUGAUCGGCCACAUUGGGACUGAGACACGGCCCAAACUCCUACGGGAGGCAGCAGUAGGGAAUCUUCGGCAAUGGACGAAAGUCUGACCGAGCAACGCCGCGGGAGUGAAGAAGGUUUUCGGAUCGUAAAACUCUGUUGGUAGAGAAGAACGUUGGUGAGAGUGGAAAGCUCAUCAAGUGACGGUAACUACCCAGAAAGGGACGGCUAACUACGUG